This 256-nucleotide ribosomal RNA is filed under the name uncultured bacterium. RNAcentral describes it as "partial 16S ribosomal RNA". It matches the Rfam family "Bacterial small subunit ribosomal RNA", at positions 96 to 353 of the family's 1533-position model. The record is from RNAcentral.
UGGCGGACGGGUGAGUAAUGUCUGGGAAACUGCCUGGUGGAGGGGGAUAACUACUGGAAACGGUAGCUAAUACCGCAUAACGUCGCAAGACCAAAGAGGGGGACCUUCGGGCCUCUUGCCAUCGGAUGUGCCCAGAUGGGAUUAGCUAGUAGGUGGGGUAACGGCUCACCUAGGCGACGAUCCCUAGCUGGUCUGAGAGGAUGACCAGCCACACUGGAACUGAGACACGGUCCAGACUCCUACGGGAGGCAGCAUG